RNAcentral lists this unclassified non-coding RNA (329 nucleotides) under soil metagenome. Its description in RNAcentral is "partial contains 5.8S ribosomal RNA, internal transcribed spacer 2, and large subunit ribosomal RNA". The stretch from base 1 to 120 matches the Rfam family "5.8S ribosomal RNA", at positions 35 to 154 of the family's 154-position model. The record is from RNAcentral.
GAUGAAGAACGUAGCGAAAUGCGAUAAGUAAUGUGAAUUGCAGAAUUCAGUGAAUCAUCGAAUCUUUGAACGCACAUUGCGCCCCCUGGUAUUCCGGGGGGCAUGCCUGUCCGAGCGUCAUUACAACCCUCAAGCUCAGCUUGGUAUUGGGCCCCGCCGACCCGGCGGGCCCUAAAGUCAGUAGCGGUGCCGUCCGGCUCCGAGCGUAGUAAUUCUUCUCGCUCUGGAGGUCCGGUCGUGUGCUCGCCAGCAACCCCCAAUUUUUUUCAGGUUGACCUCGGAUCAGGUAGGGAUACCCGCUGAACUUAAGCAUAUCAAUAAGCGGAGGA